RNAcentral lists this transfer RNA (91 nucleotides) under Echria macrotheca. Its description in RNAcentral is "tRNA-Ala". It matches the Rfam family "tRNA". Rfam says of the family: Transfer RNA (tRNA) molecules are approximately 80 nucleotides in length. The record is from RNAcentral. Lineage: Eukaryota; Fungi; Ascomycota; Sordariomycetes; Sordariales; Schizotheciaceae.
GGGCAAUUGGUCUAGGGGUAUGAUUUUCGCUUCGCAUUGUUGCUUCGACGCGCCUUGUGAAAGGUCACCGGUUCGAAUCCGGUAUUGUCCA